AGGAGCACGGACAGCGAGGGCCUGGGAAACGCGUGGAACACACGUCCCGGCUCGUUUUCCUCUCCCACUCUGAUAACCUGUGUUUCGAUACGAAACGGGCCCUGCCUCAUUAUUUGUCAUCUCCCUGGAGGUGACGGAGGGCUGUUUCAACCUCAGGGGAAAAGUUGCUGUACAGAACACAGGCCAGAGUGUGCCCCAAAGAAAUCAGGCGGUGGAGUGAUUUAAAAGUGAUCAUUUUCUGUAGUCCUAGCUACUCGGGAGGCUGAGGCAGGAAAAUCGCUUGAACCCGGGAGAAGAAGGAUGCAGUGAGCAGAGAUCGUGCCAUUGCACUUCAGCCUGGCGACAGAGCAAGACUCCGUCUCAAAAAGAAAAAAAAAAAGUGAUCAUUUUCAUGACUUGGACUAGGAAGAUCAACUGGGCACGGUGAUUCUUGCACAGAUUUUUAUAAGGAUCCUCCAAGUGUAACAACCAUUUGGAAAACUCCGGGCCUUGAGGACAGCCAGAGAAGAUAAGUUCAACUUGCACUUUGCCAGAGCAGGGGAUCUCCCUCAGCUCCCUGCCUUCAAACCUACCUUACAGACCUGCCUGGCCUGCACCUGAGCCACCCUCUUCUUCCUUCCUAUUCCCACUAAGGAGGUGUCCCUGCUUCCUUCAUAGUGGGUCCUUCCCCUGCACCGGGAAACAGGCCCUAGAGAUGACUCCAUGGGGUGAAGGACCAGAGCCUCCUUGCCUCUCUCUCUGUCUCUCUCUCCCUCUCUUGUCUUCCCAUGAAGCUCUGAUGUUUCCAGUACAAAAUAAACCUCGCUCAGUCCCAGUCCUUCUCCAGUUCCUCCCCUCACAAGCAUGGCCCCCCACUGCUGGCUUUCCUUCCCCACCUUCCACCCUCUCCUUGGCCUUCUCCACUCUGGCUUCAGUGGCCUCCGAUGGCUACACUCAGAGCCUGGGUGCACUGUCCUUUGGAAGCUUCCCUCUGGGGCCGCCUGUCAGCCUCCUCUGAAGACUCACACUCCUCGCUCUCAGACCUUUGGGUGCUGGAGGACUUCGAGGUUUGGCCUGGCUCUCCACUUCUUCCUCUCCUUUCCUCUGAGAUCUGCCUUCUUCCUUCCCUCCCUGCUUCCUUUCUUCAAGCAUAUCUACUGCAUGGAUGCCUUCUAUGUACUAAGCUAGGCAAAUGAAAGUGACAAAUGAAAAUGUGAAGUGCCUACAGGCUAAAAGAAGGAUACAGAGCAAAUAACAUAAUUACAAACUGCAGUGGGUGCUCCUAAGGGAAAGAUCAGGAUGGGUGAACGAGAGUGGGAGGGAAGACCAGACUGGGUGCGCUUGGAGGAAGCAUCUUAUGGGAAGGGCCGUUUGAGCUGAGCCUUCAGGGUCAAGGGGUGCCAGCCCCCAGGGAGCUGGGGAAAGGGCACUUCUGGCAGAGGAGAGAAAGGACUCAUCCAGGGCCUUCGUGGAACAGAAAGAGGGGCAGUGGGCUGGCAUGCACAGGCUCGCUUCAGGUGCAGUAAGACCUGUCACCUCCAGGAGGGCAAGACAUCAUCUGUGGUGCUCAUCGUUGUGUCCCACUUCAUGGAAUAGUGCUGGGAAUAUGGUACACACUCAAGAAAUAUUUGGACAGCUACAGUGGCUCACACCUGUAAUCCCAGCACUCUGGGAGGCUGAGGUGGGUGGAUCACUUGAGCCCAGGAGUUCGAGACCAGCCUGGGCAAUAUGGUGAAGCCUCGUCUCUACAGAAAAAUUUAAAAAUUAGCUGGGCAUGGUGGAACGUGCCUGUGGUCCCAGCUCUCAGGAGGCUGAGGUGGGAGGAUCACCUGAGCCCAGGGAGGUUGAGGCUGCGGUGAGCUCUGAUCAUGCUAUUAUUGCACUCCAGCCUGGGUGACAGAGUAAGAUCCUGUCUCAAAAAAAAAAAAAAAAAAGAAAAAGAAAAAGAAAAAAGAAAAAAAGAAGAAAAAGAAAUCUUUGUGGAUGGAUUAUGAAAGGUGUUAACUGACCCCAUCUGCUCCUUCUCAUACUUCCCACAUCAGAACCAUUGUGUGCCCCCUCCCGACCUUCCCAAGCCUCCAAACCAAAUGAGAGUCCCAUUGACCAGCCUAAAGGGUUGCACCCCUAGCACCAGCCAUACUUCCUGAGAAGGCAGAGAGUAGAAGAGAAAGAGGAUGUACUGGGCUAAGGGGCUGUUGGGCAUAGGAAGACUCCUCAACGAGAAAGGGUAGGAGACAGAGGCUUGGGCAUUACCCUUCCCAUCAAUUAAAA
This 2250-nucleotide long non-coding RNA is filed under the name Homo sapiens (human). RNAcentral describes it as "HSALNT0303509". Lineage: Eukaryota; Metazoa; Chordata; Mammalia; Primates; Hominidae. The record is from RNAcentral.